UCGAAGUAUUUACCAUCUGCUGGCUGCUUCUAUUAACUCAAGUGUUUUAUGGGAUCCUUACAUAACUGUACUACUAGAAGUUCAACAUCAGUCUUACAGCAUUUCUUUAGCAUUGGACAUGUAGUAUUUCACAAUCAUGAAGGAACAGAGUACUGGUUGUUUUUACCAUCAGCGUGAUGGCCACAUCCAGAAUUAACUCAUCCUUACCCUCUUAGGUCCAAAUAAAUUAUUAUAAAGAGUCCGAAAACUUUUUCUAGUAUAGUUGCAGCGAUAAGCUCCACCCAUGAGAUAUUCAAGUACAAGACCAAUAUCUAUUAGGCUGAUAUGAUAAUCUGGUGGAAGAUUGCCCUACCAAGAGCAAGGAAACAAACAAAAGAACAAAAUAAGAAUUUAGAACAAGAAAAAAUAACAUACAUGAAAUUCAUAUUGGUGCAGCAGUAAUAUUUAUAGAUACUUGUCUCAGUCUCUGAUUAUUUAUACAAAAUUAAUGAGAACCAAUUCAAAUGAUAAAUGUUUGGGGAACAGAUUGAAUUUUUGGAAGUAUUUAUAAUUGAGGACAAUUUUUCAUUUGUAAUUUACUUGUACAUUGUAUCAGUAUCAAUACAUGUCCCAGUUGUUUGCAAGAGCUAAGAGAUUGGUGAAGUCAAUCUUUAUGUCACUCUUAAUAUUGACCAUUAUUAAUCCAACAUAAAAGUAUGAUUUGCUUAAUUUCAUAAUGAAGAUCAGACACACUCUACAAUUUAUAAAAAUUUGCAUUUUGCCACAAUAUUACCUACAGAGUUAAGAAUACAAUUCAGAUAAUGAUUUAGAUUUAUACGUAGCCCAGAAUUAAAGAGAAAAGCCUGUAACUUCCACAAUCACGUAUAAGAGCUAGAUAGUUGCAUUAACUCUUCUAGAAGCAUAAGCUGAAAACUGCUUUGUUGUUUGAGCUAUAUCCUACAACAGGAACUCAUUCUACAACACCACUGAGCAGUAGCUACAAUGAAAGAACCAUAUCCUAAGCAAACACAUCACCUCCAUGUUAACCCAACUGAAUCCCCGAGACUGCCGCUGAAUGAGUGAGCCAUGAAAAUGCAGUGAAGAGACAGACAGAAAGCAGAAUGCAGAAAAGCAUUAGUGACAAUCAAAAAGACAAACACCAAAUGAGGAAUCCCCCAGUGCUGAAGGGAAUAAAACAUCAGAUUUAAUGAACAAUGGUGAGAAGAACAUCGGAGAGAAUAUGGGAAAGAAGAAAGCACAAUUAGGAGAACAGACUGCUAUUAUAUUGUACAGGACAUGAAAAACAACUGGUGAACGCUUAAAUAUUAUUAUCUUGAAAGCUAUAGAUACAUAAGCAAGUAUUCCUUGGCAGCUGAGAUGAAUAUUAUGUAGAAAAGCUGGAAGCAUGAGCCAAUACCAAGCAUAAUCUCAGGAGAAGAGCAGCUUUUUGGAGAAUGUGGAGAAUAUGAAACUAAGAGAAACACUGCAAGGAACGUAGUGAGUGCCUCACACAGAUGUCCAUGCUCCAAUCCCAUCUCAGUUAUCUUAGGACUCCUUCCUGAAAGGGGUCAGAAAUGGCUUUAUAGAUAAAUCCUCAGAAUCACUGGGCAUAUUCUUUCAUGCAUUUUUGACUCAGCCAAAAUCUCCUAGCGACACUAAUUAGUACAGGCUUUAUGCAUGAAAAGGUAGGCUCCUAAUGGUAAGUCUACAGAUAACACAUUGGCAUCAUACCUUAAGAAGUGAUUUGACUUACUGUUUGAAAAUUUUCAAAACAAUUUUAGUGUCCGUAUUUCCAAAGCAGAAGAAAUAAAAGAUAGCAAACAUCA
Molecule: long non-coding RNA, 1805 nt
Organism: Centrocercus urophasianus (Greater sage-grouse)
Lineage: Eukaryota; Metazoa; Chordata; Aves; Galliformes; Phasianidae
Exons: 2
Source: RefSeq, a predicted model, not a curated record